Long non-coding RNA from Hippocampus comes (tiger tail seahorse), 302 nucleotides. RefSeq lists it as uncharacterized. NCBI's taxonomy places the organism in Eukaryota, Metazoa, Chordata, Actinopteri, Syngnathiformes, Syngnathidae. The record is from RefSeq and is a predicted model, not a curated record. The transcript is spliced from 2 exons.
UGCAUCCAAUUGCAUUAACUCCUUUUGAGCUCUAAAGAGGACAUUCAGUGCUUUCCAAUGAUACCAAAUUUGUAGGGGGUGUGGCUUUGUUACCUUGACUUCACAGUAGAAGAAAAUGGCUUUCCUCAGUGCAAGCACUUUUUAUGGGAAGAGGAAAAAAUGGGAGUCAUUCUCAGAAGCAGAGGGAAUUUUACUGCGGAUUGUUGAUGGAAACUCAGACAUUGAGUUGUCUGAUGAAGAUGACAUGAUGCUGCUAUGACACGCCAAAACUGGACCCCGGUGGAUUAUUUUAAGCAAUACAU